AUACGUAGGGUGCGAGCGUUGUCCGGAAUUACUGGGCGUAAAGAGCUCGUAGGUGGUUUGUCGCGUCGUCUGUGAAAUUCCGGGGCUUAACUCCGGGCGUGCAGGCGAUACGGGCAUAACUUGAGUACUGUAGGGGAGACUGGAAUUCCUGGUGUAGCGGUGAAAUGCGCAGAUAUCAGGAGGAACACCGGUGGCGAAGGCGGGUCGCUGGGCAGUAACUGACGCUGAGGAUCGAAAGCAUGGGUAGCGAACAGGAUUAGAUACCCUGGUAGUCCAUGCCGUAAACGGUGGGCGCUAGGUGUAGGGGUCUUCCACGACUUCUGUGCCGUAGCUAACGCAUUAAGCGCCCCGCCUGGGGAGUACGGUCGCAAGGCUGAAACUUAAAGGAAUUGGCGGGG
RNAcentral lists this ribosomal RNA (398 nucleotides) under uncultured bacterium. RNAcentral's name for it is "partial 16S ribosomal RNA". It matches the Rfam family "Bacterial small subunit ribosomal RNA", at positions 523 to 918 of the family's 1533-position model. The record is from RNAcentral.